UACGGAAGGCAGCAGUGGGGAAUAUUGCACAAUGGGCGCAAGCCUGAUGCAGCCAUGCCGCGUGUAUGAAGAAGGCCUUCGGGUUGUAAAGUACUUUCAGCGGGGAGGAAGGCGAUGCGGUUAAUAACCGCGUCGAUUGACGUUACCCGCAGAAGAAGCACCGGCUAACUCCGUGCCAGCAGCCGCGGUAAUACGGAGGGUGCAAGCGUUAAUCGGAAUUACUGGGCGUAAAGCGCACGCAGGCGGUCUGUUAAGUCAGAUGUGAAAUCCCCGGGCUUAACCUGGGAACUGCAUUUUGAAACUGGCAGGCUUGAGUCUUGUAGAGGGGGUAGAAUUCCAGGUGUAGCGGUGAAAUGCGUAGAGAUCUGGAGGAAUCCGGUGGCGAAGGCGGCCCCUGGGACAAAGCUGACGCUCAGGUGCGAAAGCGUGGGGAGCAAACAGGGAUUAGAUACC
Molecule: ribosomal RNA, 453 nt
Filed under: uncultured bacterium
Lineage: Bacteria
Description: bacterial SSU rRNA
Rfam family: Bacterial small subunit ribosomal RNA
Source: RNAcentral